GACACUAUGGCAGGCCAACUUACUAGCUUUCAAGUAAGGUAACAUCUCAGACCAUCAUAGGUUUUGACAGGGGAAACUCUGAAGGACCACAGGAGUUGGAGGUUCCACGUAUCUCUAAGUAGUAACAUACGAUGGGUCCAAAACAGAAGAAAGAGAACUCAAGAUUCCCGAGCCACAGAGCUGUUGAUUGGAGGCUGACUCAGAGAAACCCUGGAUUCAGUGACAUACAGAGACAACAGCUGUAUUUCCCCUUCCACCUGCAUCCCUGAAGUUCCUCCCACCUGAAAACUUCACCUGACCCAAGAAAGCAAAGGAAAAAACCCGGAGAGCCAGCUCAUAGUCUGGUUCACUGUUUAACAGCCAGAAGCCAGAGCCUGCGUACUAGAAGUGGAUGCCCAGGAAGUACUUGUGAGCUGACUAAGAAUGUAAGAACGCCACCCACUUCAUUCAGGAAAGUGAGGCAGGAUUCCAUGGAGUAUGAAUGACUGCACAUGGAACAAGCAGGUUAUCAUUUAUAUUCAGCAAGGGACCUCCAUGAACAGGACAUUUGGGGAGCUGCUAUCAAACAUCAGAACUUCUGACACUGUGCACACAGUCUUAUAUUGUGCCUUGUCUGUUGUGAUGUCUCACUACAGUAAUGAUUAAGAUGAUGAGCACUUAUGCGUUGAUAUUGCAAUAUGUCUGCGUAAGAACUAUCGCUAAGGCAGGUUAUAUUAUUACCCUCAGUGUAUAGGUAAGGAGGUUAGACUGAUAACUUACCCAGUGUCACAUAGGUAGUAAUGGCCAAACUAGAGUUGGAACCUGUCUGCCUACUCUCCAAGCUCAGGAUUGACUUGAGCACAAGGGUAAGUAUCUCACAUGCUUUGUAAAGUUCAGGUUGAUAACAAAAUAUGUGAAAGGCAGGGGUAUAGACAACAGGGGGCAUAUGAAAUACGGGAAGGGCCUAAAGAAAUUCAAGUCUAUUAUUUUUAAUCCACUGCUGUCAAAUGACAAAUGAUUACUGGCUUUUCUUCAGCUUAUGAUUCCUGUAUUUGAAUCCUGAAAAACUUACAUUUCAUAUAUUACCAACUAUUAUGGGGAAAAC
Molecule: long non-coding RNA, 1084 nt
Filed under: Homo sapiens (human)
Lineage: Eukaryota; Metazoa; Chordata; Mammalia; Primates; Hominidae
Description: HSALNT0380314
Source: RNAcentral